RNAcentral lists this transfer RNA (72 nucleotides) under Plectrocnemia tsukuiensis. RNAcentral describes it as "tRNA-Gln". The record is from RNAcentral. Lineage: Eukaryota; Metazoa; Arthropoda; Insecta; Trichoptera; Polycentropodidae.
UACUUAUAAGUGUUAAAAAUUUGCACAAAAAAUUUUGAAUUUUUUAGUUUUAAUUUAUUUUAAAAUAUGUAA